RNAcentral lists this ribosomal RNA (159 nucleotides) under Aspergillus niger. RNAcentral describes it as "5.8S ribosomal RNA". It matches the Rfam family "5.8S ribosomal RNA". Rfam says of the family: 5.8S ribosomal RNA (5.8S rRNA) is a component of the large subunit of the eukaryotic ribosome. It is transcribed by RNA polymerase I as part of the 45S precursor that also contains 18S and 28S rRNA. The record is from RNAcentral. Lineage: Eukaryota; Fungi; Ascomycota; Eurotiomycetes; Eurotiales; Aspergillaceae.
ACUUUCAACAAUGGAUCUCUUGGUUCCGGCAUCGAUGAAGAACGCAGCGAAAUGCGAUAACUAAUGUGAAUUGCAGAAUUCAGUGAAUCAUCGAGUCUUUGAACGCACAUUGCGCCCCCUGGUAUUCCGGGGGGCAUGCCUGUCCGAGCGUCAUUGCUG